Molecule: ribosomal RNA, 677 nt
Filed under: uncultured Staphylococcus sp.
Lineage: Bacteria; Bacillati; Bacillota; Bacilli; Caryophanales; Staphylococcaceae
Description: bacterial SSU rRNA
Rfam family: Bacterial small subunit ribosomal RNA
Source: RNAcentral
GUCGAGCGAACGGACGAGAAGCUUGCUUCUCUGAUGUUAGCGGCGGACGGGUGAGUAACACGUGGAUAACCUACCUAUAAGACUGGGAUAACUUCGGGAAACCGGAGCUAAUACCGGAUAAUAUUUUGAACCGCAUGGUUCAAAAGUGAAAGACGGUCUUGCUGUCACUUAUAGAUGGAUCCGCGCUGCAUUAGCUAGUUGGUAAGGUAACGGCUUACCAAGGCAACGAUGCAUAGCCGACCUGAGAGGGUGAUCGGCCACACUGGAACUGAGACACGGUCCAGACUCCUACGGGAGGCAGCAGUAGGGAAUCUUCCGCAAUGGGCGAAAGCCUGACGGAGCAACGCCGCGUGAGUGAUGAAGGUCUUCGGAUCGUAAAACUCUGUUAUUAGGGAAGAACAUAUGUGUAAGUAACUGUGCACAUCUUGACGGUACCUAAUCAGAAAGCCACGGCUAACUACGUGCCAGCAGCCGCGGUAAUACGUAGGUGGCAAGCGUUAUCCGGAAUUAUUGGGCGUAAAGCGCGCGUAGGCGGUUUUUUAAGUCUGAUGUGAAAGCCCACGGCUCAACCGUGGAGGGUCAUUGGAAACUGGAAAACUUGAGUGCAGAAGAGGAAAGUGGAAUUCCAUGUGUAGCGGUGAAAUGCGCAGAGAUAUGGAGGAACACCAGUGGCGAAG